Molecule: ribosomal RNA, 497 nt
Filed under: uncultured bacterium
Lineage: Bacteria
Description: partial 16S ribosomal RNA
Rfam family: Bacterial small subunit ribosomal RNA
Source: RNAcentral
GAUGAACGCUGGCGGCGUGCCUAAUACAUGCAAGUCGAACGAACGGACGAGAAGCUCGGUUUUCUGAUGUUAGCGGCGGACGGGUGAGUAACACGUGGAUAACCUACCUAUAAGACUGGGAUAACUUCGGGAAACUGGAGCUAAGACCGGAUAAUAUUUUGAACCGGAUGGUUCAAAAGUGAAAGACGGUCUUGCUGUCACUUAUAGAUGGAUCCGCGCUGGAUUGGCUAGUUGGUAAGGUAACGGCUUACCAAGGCAACGAUGCAUAGCCGACCUGAGAGGGGGUACGGCGACAGUGGAAGUGAACGACGGUACUGACACCUAGGUGAGGCCGCAGUACGGACGCGUGCGAGCUGGGCGGAAGCUUGACGGAGGGACGCCGGGUGGGUGAUGCAGGUCCUCGGAUCGUAUGACUCUCUUAUUAGGGAAAAACAUAUGUGUAAGUGACUAAGCACAUCGUGACGGUACCUAAUCAGAAAGUCACGGCUAACUACGUG